GAUGAACGCUGGCGGCGUGCCUAAUACAUGCAAGUCGAGCGAACAGACGAGGAGCUUGCUUCUCUGACGUUAGCGGCGGACGGGUGAGUAACACGUGGAUAACCUACCUAUAAGACUGGGAUAACUUCGGGAAACCGGAGCUAAUACCGGAUAAUAUAUUGAACCGCAUGGUUCAAUAGUGAAAGACGGUUUUGCUGUCACUUAUAGAUGGAUCCGCGCCGCAUUAGCUAGUUGGUAAGGUAACGGCUUACCAAGGCAACGAUGCGUAGCCGACCUGAGAGGGUGAUCAGCCACACUGGAACUGAGACACGGUCCAGACUCCUACGGGAGGCAGCAGUAGGGAAUCUUCCGCAAUGGGCGAAAGCCUGACGGAGCAACGCCGCGUGAGUGAUGAAGGUCUUCGGAUCGUAAAACUCUGUUAUUAGGGAAGAACAAAUGUGUAAGUAACUAUGCACGUCUUGACGGUACCUAAACAGAAAGCCACGGCUAACUACGUG
This 497-nucleotide ribosomal RNA is filed under the name uncultured bacterium. RNAcentral's name for it is "partial 16S ribosomal RNA". It matches the Rfam family "Bacterial small subunit ribosomal RNA", at positions 28 to 507 of the family's 1533-position model. The record is from RNAcentral.